GACGAACGCUGGCGGCGUGCUUAACACAUGCAAGUCGAACGGAAAGGCCCCUUUGGGGGUACUCGAGUGGCGAACGGGUGAGUAACCCGUGAGUAACCUGCCCUUGACUUCGGGAUAACUUCAGGAAACUGGGGCUAAUACCGGAUAGGAAUCCUUGCUGCAUGGUGGGGGUUGGAAAGCUUCGGCGGUUUUGGAUGGACUCGCGGCUUAUCAGCUUGUUGGUGGGGUAGUGGCUUACCAAGGCUUUGACGGGUAGCCGGCCUGAGAGGGCGACCGGCCACAUUGGGACUGAGAUACGGCCCAGACUCCUACGGGAGGCAGCAGUGGGGAAUAUUGCACAAUGGGCGGAAGCCUGAUGCAGCAACGCCGCGUGCGGGAUGACGGCCUUCGGGUUGUAAACCGCUUUCAGCAGGGGCGAAGCUUGUGGUGACGGUACCUGCAGAAGAAGCACCGGCUAACUACGUG
This 465-nucleotide ribosomal RNA is filed under the name uncultured bacterium. Its description in RNAcentral is "partial 16S ribosomal RNA". It matches the Rfam family "Bacterial small subunit ribosomal RNA", at positions 28 to 507 of the family's 1533-position model. The record is from RNAcentral.